GUGGAUUCCGCGUAAAUAAAAAAUUCCACAAACAUAAAAGCGAUCCCCAUCGUUGUGAGGGUCAAUCACCAUCAACCAUUUUUGGUUCUUUAACAGGAUUGGAAACAAGUAUACCUAACAGCAUAUUUCACGGACUAGUCAUCUAUCAAUCAAUACAAAUGAAAGCUUAGUAAAGAUAUUUUAGCAACUGCAUUAUUGAGACCACUACUUAAUAAUCACCUUUUGGAAAAAAAAAAAAUGAUUAUUUCCAUUUCCAGUAUCUAACAUAAUUCGAACAGAUUCUGUCAUGAAAUAAUUGCCCGAAAAUCAUAUACUAGUCAAUGUAUGUAUUCUCCGUUGAUUCGACGGUACCGAGAUCACGAUGACGUUAAAUCACAGCCGGCCGUCCAUCACUUCUCACUCUCCUUUUCGAUAUUUUCCUUCACUCUCCCCGUCCUGAGUUAAUCUAACCGGCAAAUCGUCGUUUAUGGAAUCUCGGACUGAGUCGACUAGGAUCGUCACGCGAAUCUUACUCAGCAAUAUUACGUGUAGAUACCAGUAGCUCAAAGGAUACCGAUGAGGGAGAGUCUUUUCAGCCGUCGGACGAUAAGGCAGGGUGCGAUCUCGUCUGUUGGAUCUGUGAAGAUCAAGUUAUUGCUCGCCUUUAUUAUUUUAUUCACUCUAAUUGCGCUCGUCGGUCGUACGCCAUCGUUUAAGGGAUGGAGACACCACGAUGCUUCUCUCCAUCGAUCCUCUCUUCCCAGGUCGGUAUCAAUAGGAAUAUAAUAUAUUCAAUCGCGUUAAUUAUGUUAUUUACGGAAGCGUUUUUGUUUUAUUAAGUUCGUUAAGUAGCUUGCAUUUAUGGUAAUUAAUUAUUAAAUAAGUUAUUUAAUUUUUGGGUAACAUUUUUUGUCCGGACAUAGUUAAUAAUUAUCCUUACAUAAUUAAUGCUUAAUAUUUAUCAGGAUAGUUAUACUCCUAUUAUUAAUUGC
Molecule: long non-coding RNA, 971 nt
Filed under: Olea europaea subsp. europaea
Lineage: Eukaryota; Viridiplantae; Streptophyta; Magnoliopsida; Lamiales; Oleaceae
Source: RNAcentral